This 314-nucleotide small nuclear RNA is filed under the name Castor canadensis (American beaver). RNAcentral describes it as "7SK RNA (ENSCCNG00000004591.1)". It matches the Rfam family "7SK RNA". From Rfam's summary of the family: 7SK was discovered as an abundant small nuclear RNA in the mid-70s but a possible function has only recently been suggested. Two independent studies have found that 7SK RNA binds the CDK9/cyclin T complex (known as elongation factor P-TEFb). Lineage: Eukaryota; Metazoa; Chordata; Mammalia; Rodentia; Castoridae. The record is from RNAcentral.
GAAUGUGAAAGCAAUCUGGGUGUGACAUUUGUCACCUCAUUGAUCGCCAGGGUUGAUUCAGCUGAUCUGGCUGGCUAGGUGGUGUCUCCUUCCUCGCUGCUCCAUGUGUGUCCCUCCCCAAGCUGAGCACUGGGUCAAAGAGGAUGACCAUCUAUGAUAAAUGAGGACCAUUCUUUGGUUAAGUGUAUACAAGUAGCUGUGCUCCCCUCUAGACCCUCCAAUCCAGCUCUCAAUAAAUCAAUAUGCUAUGUCCAGAAGAAAUUUGAAGGAAUGCAGGGCACGUGAAACAAUUCACCUUGGGUUGGAUGCUAUUU